Brassica napus (rape) is the source of this 726-nucleotide long non-coding RNA. RefSeq lists it as uncharacterized. The record is from RefSeq and is a predicted model, not a curated record. The transcript has 2 exons. NCBI's taxonomy places the organism in Eukaryota, Viridiplantae, Streptophyta, Magnoliopsida, Brassicales, Brassicaceae.
UCAGAGGAUGAGGACCAUACUUCUCAGGUAGGUUCUUACAUUACUACUUAACAAUUUUUUUACCUUAGAGCUGAGAACCUUUUUUUAACAAUAUGAACCUUUGUGCCCACGUAUGUAAAAAUAAAUACUGUCCAACCCCUUCUUUUGUUUAGUCAUGUGUUCUCCAAAGUACAAAGUUAUGACAAGACGUUCCCAUUAUCGAGGAGAUACGUCAUACAUGUUCCAUCUAUCUAUUAUGCUUCCCUCUGGUAUUAGUUUUUUUGUUUCCAUGAUCAGGUGGCUAAGCGUUGAUGCUUUUUGAUCAGGUGGCUAAACGUUGAUGCUUUUUGAUCAGGUGGCUAGGCAUUGAUGCUCACUGCAGGUUUCAACUGAAUCACUUUGGUUUACUCCAAAAGAGAGGUAUUAGCUUAUAACUACUAUACACUGUGCUCUUUGGUGUCUGAAGGAAAGAAAUAUGCUCUCAGGUAUAUAUUUAAAUAUAUGGUUUCCGUUGCAAUUUAAAAUUGGAUUCAUAUAGUUUUAAGCACACAACACAUAUGCUAAUUUGAAGGUUCAUCGCAAUGGAACUCUAUAAUGUCUGAGAGGUCCUCUAUAGUUCCAUCGUCAGGCUUCCCAAGUUUAAUCUUUCUCCAAGAAUUCAAAAAGUUUCCAUAUGGCGGAAGGGAUGUAACACUUCUGAAGUCAUUUGAGUUCCAAGACCUAUAAUCAUGUGGUCAGUUUUUACCG